Molecule: ribosomal RNA, 1758 nt
Filed under: Triticum aestivum (bread wheat)
Lineage: Eukaryota; Viridiplantae; Streptophyta; Magnoliopsida; Poales; Poaceae
Description: partial small subunit ribosomal RNA
Source: RNAcentral
AUGCGUCCGUCCCAUAUAAAUUGUGUUUUCCCUUCAGUGCCUCAGCAACCUUUCUCGCCGGCCGAAAUGGCAAAUAACUUCCUCCUCGGAGGCCUGGGGGCCAUCCUUGUCGUCGCGGUCGUGGUGGGCGUAGUCGCCACCGUGACCAGCUCCGGUAACAAUAAGGCCGGCGACAACUUCAAUGUCCCAGGUGAGGCCAACCUUGCCACCUCCGGCAAGUCGGUCAAGUCUCUGUGCGCCCCCACGCUGUACAAGGAGUCGUGCGAGAAGACCCUCACCUCGGCCUCCAAUGGCACCGAGAACCCCAAAGAGGUGUUCGCCACCGUUGCCAAGUCGGCGAUGGAGUCGAUCAAGUCGGCGGUGGAGCGGUCAAAAAGUAUCGGGGAGGUCAAGUCGAGCGACCCCUUGACGGAGGGCGCGCGCCAGGACUGCAAGGAGCUCCUGGAGGACUCCGUGGACGACCUCAAGGGCAUGGUCGAGAUGGCCGGCGGCGACAUCAAGGUGCUCCUUAGCCGCACCGACGACCUCGAGCACUGGAUCACCGGUGUGAUGACCUUUAUCGACACCUGCGCCGAUGGCUUCGCCGACGAGAAGCUCAAGGCGGACAUGCAGGGCAUCCUGCGCAACGCCACGGAGCUCAGCAGCAACGCGCUCGCCAUCACCAACAGCCUCGGCGCCAUCUUCAAGAAGCUCGACCUCGACGUGUUCAAGACCGACUCCCGCCGCCGCCUCUUGUCUGCGGAGGAGUCGAAGUACCCCGCGUGGAUGAAGGCUCCAGAAAGGAAGCUACUGGCCUCCGGUGGCUUGCCAGCGCCGAACGCGGUUGUGGCCAAGGACGGAAGCGGCAAAUUCAAGACCAUCCAGGACGCCGUGAACUCCAUGCCCAAGGAUCACCCUGGCCGGUACGUGAUCUACGUCAAGGCUGGGGUCUACGAAGAGAUGGUCAUGGUCCCCAAGGACAAGGUCAACAUAUUCAUGUAUGGCGACGGCCCCAAGCAAAGCCGCGUCACCGGCAGUAAGAGCUUCGCCGACGGCAUCACCACCAUGAAGACCGCCACCUUCUCCAUUGAGGCGGCCGGGUUCAUCUGCAAGAACAUGGGGUUCCACAACACGGCUGGCGCGGAGAAGCACCAGGCGGUGGCGCUGCGGGUGCAGGGCGACCUCUCGGCGUUCUUCAACUGCCGGUUCGACGCGUUCCAGGACACGCUGUACGUGCACGCCCGGCGCCAGUUCUUCCGCAACUGCGUCAUCUCCGGCACCAUCGACUUCAUCUUCGGCAACUCGGCCGCCGUGUUCCAGAACUGUCUCAUCAUCACGCGCCGGCCCAUGGACAACCAGCAGAACUCGGUGACUGCGCACGGCCGCACGGACCCCAACAUGAAGUCCGGGCUGGUGAUCCAGAACUGCCGCCUGGUGCCGGACCAGAAGCUGUUCGCGGACCGCUUCAAGAUCCCGUCCUACCUGGGCAGGCCGUGGAAGGAGUUCUCGCGGCUGGUCAUCAUGGAGAGCAUGAUCGCCGACUUCAUCAAGCCCGAGGGGUACAUGCCGUGGAACGGCGACUUCGCGCUCAAGACGCUCUACUACGCCGAGUUCGGCAACCGCGGCCCCGGCGCCGGCACCAGCAAGAGGGUCACCUGGCCAGGGUUCCGCGUCAUCGGGAACAAGGAGGCCGAGCAGUUCACCGCAGGGCCCUUCAUCGACGGGGCGACAUGGCUCAAGUUCACCGGCAUGCCCAACUACCUCGGAUUCAAGGUCUAA